GAUUUUAUUCACAUUAAUAAGCAGAUUAAACUUCCGAUUGUUUACACUAAUCAAAUUAAAUAUCACUUAAAGACUAAUCAAGAGAUUUAUUAACAUGAAAAGGGCCUAGGGUUUUCUAAUUGUGACCAUUAAGAUUACCUCUGAAGAAGCUCUCUCCCUCCUUCACACUCAAAUCGCAAACGACAGCGCACGGAAACGGCACCGGAGCUACUCCUCCGUUCAAUACUUCCGAUCGAACAAAAGGCUUACUCACGUCGUUCAUCUCUCCGAGUUCAUCUCUCUCGAUCUCAACCGUGAACAGUCGAAACAAAUCCACAUUGCCUUUCGUCUCAAAAAUCUUAGAUGCAUUUCAUCUCCGACGAGACCUUUCUCCGCCGCCGUGGACAAGAAGACGUGACCACAUCAUCUCGUCUCUUCUCUUAGAACUCAGUGCCGCUCGUAAUCUCUCAACCUUUUUCAGACGCGAAUCGAAGCGAGGAAAUCCAAAUAACGAGCUUCCGAUUCUUCAGGUGGAGGUGAAGGUUGAAAUGAUGAGCGAUUCAAAGACGAUGUCGUUGUUCGUGGUGGAGGAGAAGCAUAUUUAGCUAUGGCGAUAUUGACGUUGCAGAGGAGCUUGAAGAUUAUGUUGAAGGUUCGUAAUUUUGAUCGAUGAAGUGAAGAUGAAAGUUUGGUGAAGAUUCCAGAGUUUGUGAAGGAUUCUCAAUUUGUGUUCACGAUUUUUGUUCUAUCUGAAGUUCACUAGCAAGUUUCUUUUGUGUUGAUGAUUGAAGAUGAUCGUGAAGUGAUGGAAAUUCUGAAAGAGAGAAGAAGAUUGGUUAUCGAGGAUUCAGUUAUGGCUGAGAAGUUUGUUACGAAUCCAUUUUUUUUUCUUUUGCAGGUUUUGUAAUUUUUUGUUAUGAAGAGGGAGAUGAAGGUUUUGAGAUUGAAGAGGUGUUGAAGAAGGUGGAAAAAGGUUAAAGAUGAAGGUGGUUAGGGAUGAACGCUGGAGAUUGGAGAAAAGAAGGUAGUUGAAGAUGAUUGGAGAAGGAGGAGUAUGAAGUUCGAUGGUGAAGGUUGGUAGAAUGUUCAAAUGUGGAAUCGGUUUCUUCUUCCCUUUUGCAGUAGACGUUUUUUUUUGUUUCUUCUGUAACUCCAAAGAGCAGGGCCCAUGUUGUGAUUUGCAUCCUCUUGUAAUUAGUCAUUUUUUGUAUAAUUUUUGUAAUGGACAUUUAAUAGUAGGCUUUGACCUUUGAUGUAAUAAUGGAUUUUUGAAAUGUAUGAAUUGGAUUUUAGACAUAUUUGAAUGGUUGAACUUGAAUAUAGAAUAGUGUAAUAGUUUGAAUUUUUUUGUAUGAAUUUUGUAGAAACUUGAAUAAUGUAAAACUUGAUGAUAAAUCUUGAAUAUUUGAAUUUGGGAUUUCUAAUGAUGUGAAUGAUAUUUGUAUUUAGGUCUUUGAAUAAUAUCCGAACUCGAAUUA
This is a long non-coding RNA of Vicia villosa (hairy vetch), 1457 nucleotides long. RefSeq lists it as uncharacterized. The transcript is spliced from 3 exons. The record is from RefSeq and is a predicted model, not a curated record. NCBI's taxonomy places the organism in Eukaryota, Viridiplantae, Streptophyta, Magnoliopsida, Fabales, Fabaceae.